Molecule: long non-coding RNA, 791 nt
Organism: Fukomys damarensis (Damara mole-rat)
Lineage: Eukaryota; Metazoa; Chordata; Mammalia; Rodentia; Bathyergidae
Exons: 5
Source: RefSeq, a predicted model, not a curated record
UUAUAGGAGUGGGGUGGGGUUAACCUGAGCUGGGGUGGAGUUCAGUGAGGUAGCACUAAGGGAUUGGAGGAUCCUGUGACAUCACUAGGCGGUGCUUGUGACAUCACUGGUUACUCACAGGUAGCCAGUAUCAGAUUACUUUGGCGGGAAGAGGCAUGAUGGGAUGAAGGCUGUCCCUCCUAAGAGAAGCCAUAUUUAACAUGGAGGCUGCUAUUCCGUGUGGCAGCCAUCUUAAGGCACAGAAUAUUAUGGGAAGGAGGUUACCGUUUUAUGUAGCAGCCAUCUUGAGCCAAGGGAAAUUUAACAGACGUGACAGGGCAAAGAAGUUUUAUAGAGCAAAAUCAUGAGGAACUUCUGGACCUCCUAUGAUCCAGCAACUAAAGGUUGGGUCCUGACUUAUCAGAAUCUCCAACAUGAACUGAUUUGUCACAACCUUGUCAUACCAGUUGCUGGGAUUUUUUGAAAAGUGCAUUUGCAGAUGUGGUGCUUUCGAACCAAUUGCUCUGGCAGCCAUGUACAAGGUGUUAGAGAAGACCCUAGAACCAAGGAAUUCAGCAACAAAUUUGUUCCUAUAAUCAGGAAGUCAGGUGAAAAUAUAAAAGAGGAGCAGCACUUCCUUUAGACAUUAAACCAUUGGUUGAGGAUACCACACAGCAGAUAGGCUGAACUCUGAAUGCAUUCCAGAUAUAGAGAUCAGAUUCUUCUUGAAUAAAAGGACACAUGGUCCUCUGCCUCCAUCUUAUUUCACAAAACACCACCCUGUUCAAGCUAAUGCUUGGCCUAAUCAAGCC